This 468-nucleotide ribosomal RNA is filed under the name uncultured bacterium. Its description in RNAcentral is "partial 16S ribosomal RNA". It matches the Rfam family "Bacterial small subunit ribosomal RNA", at positions 28 to 507 of the family's 1533-position model. The record is from RNAcentral.
GACGAACGCUGGCGGCGUGCUUAACACAUGCAAGUCGAACGGAAAGGCCCUGCUUUUGUGGGGUGCUCGAGUGGCGAACGGGUGAGUAACACGUGAGUAACCUGCCCUUGACUUUGGGAUAACUUCAGGAAACUGGGGCUAAUACCGGAUAGGAGCUCCUGCUGCAUGGUGGGGGUUGGAAAUUUUCGGCGGUUGGGGAUGGACUCGCGGCUUAUCAGCUUGUUGGUGGGGUAGUGGCUUACCAAGGCUUUGACGGGUAGCCGGCCUGAGAGGGUGACCGGCCACAUUGGGACUGAGAUACGGCCCAGACUCCUACGGGAGGCAGCAGUGGGGAAUAUUGCACAAUGGGAGGAAGCCUGAUGCAGCAACGCCGCGUGCGGGAUGACGGCCUUCGGGUUGUAAACCGCUUUCGCCUGUGACGAAGCGUGAGUGACGGUAAUGGGUAAAGAAGCACCGGCUAACUACGUG